UGGGGAAUAUUGGACAAUGGGCGCAAGCCUGAUCCAGCAAUACCGCGUGAGUGAUGACGGUCUUCGGAUUGUAAAGCUCUUUUAGUGAGGAAGAUAAUGACGGUACUCACAGAAAAAGCACCGGCAAACUUCGUGCCAGCAGCCGCGGUAAUACGAAGGGUGCUAGCGUUGUUCGGAAUUAUUGGGCGUAAAGCGUACGUAGGCGGUUUGGUAAGUCAAUUGUGAAAGCCCUAAGCUCAACUUAGGAACUGCAAUCGAAACUGCCUUACUUGAGUUUGGUCGGGGAUGGUGGAAUUUCUAGUGUAGGGGUGAAAUCCGUAGAUAUUAGAAGGAAUAUCGGUGGCGAAGGCGACCAUCUAGGCCAAUACUGACGCUGAGGUACGAAAGCGUGGGGAGCAAACAGG
RNAcentral lists this ribosomal RNA (404 nucleotides) under uncultured bacterium. Its description in RNAcentral is "bacterial SSU rRNA". It matches the Rfam family "Bacterial small subunit ribosomal RNA", at positions 355 to 776 of the family's 1533-position model. The record is from RNAcentral.